CGCGCAGGCGGUUAUGCAAGCCUGGUGUGAAAGACCACAGCUCAACUGUGGGAGCGCACUGGGAACUGUGUAACUGGAGUUCAAGGAGGGGGAAGCUGGAAUUCCUGGUGUAGGGGUGAAAUCUGUAGAUAUCAGGAAGAACAUCAGUGGCGAAGGCGAGCUUCUGGCUAUGAACUGACGCUGAGGCGCGAAAGCGGUGGGGAGCAAACA
This 210-nucleotide ribosomal RNA is filed under the name uncultured bacterium. RNAcentral's name for it is "partial 16S ribosomal RNA". It matches the Rfam family "Bacterial small subunit ribosomal RNA", at positions 568 to 774 of the family's 1533-position model. The record is from RNAcentral.